AUCCUUUAAAAUGUUCUACUCUGAGAAGUUUAAGAUGAAUUCUUGUUUUAUAAGACCUGGCCCGCAGCAAAAUCCUCUGGAUUUCAUGGCUCAAGUCAAUGAGAAUCAGUGCAAUGAGAAUUUACAACACUGGCCAGAAAGGUGUAUCAACUAUUCCCAAAAAUGUCAUGCAAGAUCCAUCUGCUUUGUGAUUACCACACCCCAAACCUCUAUAAAGAACCUGAAAUAUUUCACCACUGAUGCAUUUCCACAGUACUAACUCAUACGAGUUCUUCGCAUGAAUGAUAAACCAUAGCCUCCUUCAGGAAAUGUUCACGGCCUGCUUUCACCUUCAAUAUGGAUUAUGAUGUCUCCUUUUUGCAUGUAUCUGCCUACUUUGAUGAGAUAAUUACUUGUAUGUCUUCUCCAGACAACAGUGCUUUUUAAAGAGCAGAACUGGUCUUCAGCAUAUGUAUCUGACAAGAAAGUGUCUCCUAAGAAAUGGAAAAUAAAACAAAUGCUAC
RNAcentral lists this long non-coding RNA (503 nucleotides) under Fukomys damarensis (Damara mole-rat). RNAcentral's name for it is "lncRNA (ENSFDAG00000023621.1)". Lineage: Eukaryota; Metazoa; Chordata; Mammalia; Rodentia; Bathyergidae. The record is from RNAcentral.